GGUGGGGUCCUGGAGGUGGGGUCCUGGAGGUGGGGUCCUGGAGGUGGGGGUCCUGGAGGUGGGGGUCUGGAGGUGGGGAUCCUGGAGGUGGAGGUCUGGAGGUGGGGGUCUGGAGGUGGGGGUGGCUGGGCUUACAGAACCACCUGGCUCCUGGAGCCGCCCGGCC
This is a long non-coding RNA of Erinaceus europaeus (western European hedgehog), 166 nucleotides long. RefSeq lists it as uncharacterized. NCBI's taxonomy places the organism in Eukaryota, Metazoa, Chordata, Mammalia, Eulipotyphla, Erinaceidae. The transcript is spliced from 3 exons. The record is from RefSeq and is a predicted model, not a curated record.